AAUAGCUUUUGCUGAACGUGGUCCCGGAUGUCGCUGGGUGUGAGCGAGACGGCUUGUCAUGUCGUUCGCAGCAGGGUCGCUGUGCUUUCGAUGAACAAGAAUAUGCGACCAUGAUUAGAAGUUUCGAGAGUAGACGAGAGGAGACACUUGGUAAAAGACGAUUGAACGAGUAAGAGCAUUAAAAAGAGUUUAGCGACACACCGGGAAUUCGUUGUUAAGCGCAGCUAAGAUGGAAAACCAGAAUGAGAAAUGCAACGCCCCGACAUAUAUAUAACUUGUGCUUGAGAACUAUAUCCGAUACACGAGGUGAAUAAAGGGAUCACAAGAUGUCAUUCGCUAACCAAUUGGUGCCCCAGGAGUGCAAGGGAAGCUAAAAAAAACUGGAAAAGUAACAGCGAAUACGAAAAGAAUCAUUUAUUAUAAUUGUGAUUUAACAAAGAAUUAAAUGUAAAUUGAAACCAAAAA
Molecule: long non-coding RNA, 465 nt
Organism: Drosophila mojavensis
Lineage: Eukaryota; Metazoa; Arthropoda; Insecta; Diptera; Drosophilidae
Exons: 2
Source: RefSeq, a predicted model, not a curated record